This is an RNA transcript of Asparagus officinalis (garden asparagus), 1072 nucleotides long. It is a transcript of the gene named rRNA 2'-O-methyltransferase fibrillarin-like, with no coding region annotated. The transcript is spliced from 5 exons. Lineage: Eukaryota; Viridiplantae; Streptophyta; Magnoliopsida; Asparagales; Asparagaceae. The record is from RefSeq and is a predicted model, not a curated record.
ACCGCAACCAAAUCUCUCUCUCUCUCUCUCUCUCUCUCUAACGAAAUCCCUAAAAUCCCUAAAAUCGUCUCCAAAAUUUUUCGAUCCCUAAAAUCGCCGUGGCCAAGAUCUCGUCGCUGUUUUCUGAUCGGAUCUCAUCUCCAAGCUCCUCUCUGAUCUCGUCGCCGUUAGUUUCGUCGUCGAGCUAGUCACCGUUUUCUAGGGUUUGCCAUUCUCUCCAAUCUCUCCGAUCUCUUCGAGCUACUAAUAUCGUCGUCAUGCUACUCUCGUUGCCAUUCCAGUCUUGUUCGUCAUCGUCAAGCUACUAAUAUCGCCGUCAAGGUGCUGCGGAUAACGUCGUCAAGCUACUAAUCUCGUCGAUCCCUGAGGGUGGUGGAUUCAGGGGUAGGAGUGAUGGUGGCAGAGGCCGAGGAAGAUGAGGUGGAGGGCGAGCUGGUCCUGAAGGCCGGGGUGGUGGUGGAAGAGGACGCGGUGCUGGUUGAGGUGGUGGUGGAAGAGGGCGUGGUGGAGGUCGCGGUGGUGGCUGUGGAGGUGGAAUGAAGGGAGGAAGCAAAGUAGUGGUUCAGCCGCAUAGGCAUGAUGGAGUCUUCGUUGCCAAGGGGAAGGAAGAUGCCCUUUGUACCAAGAACAUGGUUGUCGGUGAAUCCGUUUAUGGUGAGAAGCGCGUUGCUGUGCAGGUGUUUAAAAGAAUCCUCAAAGCAUAUGCAACAAAACUUUAUUCUCGAUUACCCAAGGGGGGUUCAGGGCUAGUUGCAGCUGCUACUGGUACAAAUGGGCAAAUCAAGGUUAUAUAAGCACUCUUUUACUUGUUGCUUGUUCCUAGUGAGUACAGGUUCCUAGUGAAAUUGGCGAUUGAGGCUGACAGGUUCCUAGUGAGUAUUUGACAUUGAGGCAUAAGUUUUUGGAAACAAAUAGAGAAUAUAAAGUCUUUGACUGAGAAGUUUCAUGUUUUGUAAUCAAAUGUUGAUGUUGUUUGAAUAUUAGUUCGGUACGAUAUUUUCUGAGCUGAAAUGUUGGUAGUGUGGAUUUUAUACUUUGUAGUUUUUAUACUAUACCGAUGUAUGUUGGCACU